This is a non-coding RNA of Neolamprologus brichardi, 207 nucleotides long. The record is from RefSeq and is a predicted model, not a curated record. NCBI's taxonomy places the organism in Eukaryota, Metazoa, Chordata, Actinopteri, Cichliformes, Cichlidae.
UCGCGAUCUUUGCUGAGUUUUGUGAGUGGGCUUCCGGGACGAUACUCGUUGUAAUGACUGAAUCCCCGCAACGGGAAGCUUUUUAAAGGCAGUUUCGGUUGCUCACCGGAAAUGGUUGUGAACGGACUGGACAGAAUGAUGAUCUGCAGGUCCAUGAGGAGCCACCAUGAUUCCGCCCAUUGUGUUUGACAGACAACCUUCUGAAAA